This 328-nucleotide ribosomal RNA is filed under the name uncultured Pseudomonas sp. RNAcentral describes it as "bacterial SSU rRNA". It matches the Rfam family "Bacterial small subunit ribosomal RNA", at positions 14 to 345 of the family's 1533-position model. The record is from RNAcentral. Lineage: Bacteria; Pseudomonadati; Pseudomonadota; Gammaproteobacteria; Pseudomonadales; Pseudomonadaceae.
UGAUCCUGGCUCAGAUUGAACGCUGGCGGCAGGCCUAACACAUGCAAGUCGAGCGGUAGAGAGGUGCUUGCACCUCUUGAGAGCGGCGGACGGGUGAGUAAAGCCUAGGAAUCUGCCUGGUAGUGGGGGAUAACGCUCGGAAACGGACGCUAAUACCGCAUACGUCCUACGGGAGAAAGCAGGGGACCUUCGGGCCUUGCGCUAUCAGAUGAGCCUAGGUCGGAUAGCUAGUUGGUGAGGUAAUGGCUCACCAAGGCGACGAUCCGUAACUGGUCUGAGAGGAUGAUCAGUCACACUGGAACUGAGACACGGUCCAGACUCCUACGGG